RNAcentral lists this long non-coding RNA (30192 nucleotides) under Amborella trichopoda. RNAcentral's name for it is "long non-coding RNA (ATRI_LNC002118)". The record is from RNAcentral. Lineage: Eukaryota; Viridiplantae; Streptophyta; Magnoliopsida; Amborellales; Amborellaceae.
CCUCUUCUCUUCUCCUCUUUAACAAGAGACUUAAGCUAGCAAACCCUAAUAGUGAAUUAAAGAUCUCUUUGCUUCCCUCUUCUCUUCUCCUCUCUGACAAGAGACCCAAGCUCUUGUUAUUGUUCUUCUUCUUCUCUCAUCUUCUCUGCCUUAUUUGAGUUUUGUCUUGUACCUCUGUUUUGGAGGUAUGAUGAGAGUUUGCCCCUGGUUUUAGAAAAGAGAGAGAGAGAGAGAGAGAGAGAGGAGGAGAGAGAGAGAGAGAGAGAGGGGAAGAGCUUGGUUAUUCUUGAGAGAGAUUUAGAGAGAGUAGAUUUGGGGUUUAUGAGGUAGAGAGAGAGAAAGUAAACAUAAACUCGAGCCUGCUAUGGAACUUUUGUGAGCAAACAGAAACUCGAGUGGCUGUUUCCUUCAUAAUUUCUUUGUGACAAUUGAUUUUCCUUUGAAGAUUUCGAGUUGAAGUAGUUUAAAGAGAGUAUAGAUUUGAGGUUUAUGAGGUCAAGAGCAGUGUAUCAAAAAGCGCUAGGCGGUUCCUAGGCGGCCUAGGGGGUCCAGGCCUCCCAGCGCUUAGGCGGCCCGUCAAGAACCUGGGCAGCUGCCCAAUUGAAAAAAACAUACCAAUAUAUUAUAUAUCAUAUUCCAAGUUGAAAAAAGAAAAGAUAGACGUUGAGAAGAGAAUUUUGAUAAUCCAUAUUGUUAAAGCAGUAAACUGUAAAACCAUACAAGUAUAGGAUAUAAAAGUCAACACUCAACACAACAAAAAUAUACAGAAUUUAGAAAAUAUACAGUCUAUCAAAAGUCAACACUCAUGACUGAACACAAUAGUCAGCAUUCAACAUUCAGCACCAAGAGGUAAGAGUCUUCAGUCGUCGUCAUCAUCAUCAUCAUCAGAAGGAAUAUCAAUAGGGCAAGCCUCAUCAUAUGCAUCAGAGUCAAGGCCAUCAUUAGAGUAAUCUCCUUCUUCAAUAUAACGCUCGUCUUCCUCUGUUUCUUCUAAAUUUGUCUCUUUCUCCUCCUCCUCCUCCUCUUCUUCUACCUUCCUCUUACUAGUAUGUGCAAUCUGUGCUGAUGAGGCCCUAGGAGUCUUGGCUGUCUGCCCUUUUCUUUGUGUUUCUGUGUACUCAAAUAUUGUAUAAUUUCCUCCUUGGUAGUCUCAGGAACAUUUUUACAUGGGGCAACAUCUCCCUUAAAACCGGCAAGGUAUUUUUUAAAUCGGUAAAUGCUCCCAUUAGUAUCAUUUUCACAAUAAUUACAUUUAAUACAAUAUUUAUCACUUGGAUUCGGGUUAUAACCAUACUUCCAACCUGGAUCACCACUCCGACAAGAACCUGGAGAAGAUACUUCAAUAGAACAAGGCUUAUUUUCAACCUUUUAUGGUUCUUCUAAAUUCAGAAGAAGUCUAAUCUCAUCCCGCACUGGUUUAAGAACCUUUGUACAAGAAGAAACAUUAUCUCUAACACCAACAAGGUGUUUUUUGAAUCGGCUAAUAACCCCAUUGGUAUCUUUUUCACAAACAUUACACUUUAUACAAUUUUUAUCAUUUGGUUUUGGGUUGUACCCAUACUUCCAACCCGGAUCACUUCUUUUAGUAGUGGCAGAAAUAGAUCUAUGACAAGGAUUUUGUUUUUGUUUUUGUUUUGGUUUUGCAUAACUUAUAUAUUGCUUAAUCUCCUCUCUGAUAGCUUCAGGAACAUUUUUACAAGGGGCAACAUCCCCCUUAAUACCGGCAAGAUGUUUCUUAAACCGGUUUAUGCCUCCUUUUGUAACUUUUUCACUAAAAUUGCAUCUAAUGCAAUUUUUUUCAUUUAAAUUCGGGCUGUAUCCAUAUUUCCAACCUGGAUUUCCACUCCGACUAACUUAUGAAAAAGACAUCUCAAAAUAAAACAAUCAAUCUAAAAAAUAAAGUUUUGCACUUAUUUUGAUUGCUCGAACUCCAAACUUUGAGACACUUCGAUCCAAUGAAAUGUAGUUUUUUGGAUGUUUCUUUUUCUCUAAAAGGGGUUCUUGUGGGAAUGAACUUAAAACCCUUCAUUUUAACAUUUUAUAUCUUUAAAAAAAAUCAAAACAAAAAACAAAAAAAAUCAUUUUUGCCUCUGGGCGGGGCGCAGGCCCUGGGCGGCCGCAUAGGCGGGUUCCAUACCGCCCAAGGACCACCGCUCAGUUUGGCCGCCUAGGCCUAAGCAAUGCGCCCAGGCCUUCUGAACCGCCUAGGUGCUGGGCGGCCCACUUUUUUGAACAAUGGUCGAGAGAGAGAAGUUUUGGGGUUUCUGAGGUAGAGAGAGAGUAGAUUUGGGGUUUCUGAGGUAGAGAAAGAGAGUAGAUUUGGGGUUUAUGAGGGAGAGAGAGAGUAGGUUUGGGGUUUUUGAGGUAGAGAAAGAGUGGGAGUAGAUUUGGGGUUUAUGAGGUUUCACGGUGUGGGUUGUUGGGUCACAAGGUGGGGUUUGCAUGGGGUGAGAGAGUAGAUUUGGGGUUUAUGAGGGAGAAAGAGAUUAGAUUUGGGGUUUCUGAGGUAGAGAAAGAGAGAGUAGAUUUGAGGUUUAUGAGGUUUCACGGUGUGGGUUGUUGGGUCAUAAGGUGGGGUUUGCGUUGGGUGAGAGAGCCGCACUUUCAUAAAAAAAAUUCAAGUUUGAUACUACAGAACUUUUUGUUUCAAUCUAAAAAUCUAAUAAAAUCUUGUGGUUGUCCAAACGUUUUAAAUCUACUUCACAAGAUUUUUGGCUUGCAAUACGGAAAUAUUGCAAUUUUGGGUACAUGCAAACUAGCACGUAAUCACGCCCUACAAAGAAUGGACCUCUUCCUUUUAAGUACAAACCAAAAGGAAUGAUACGUAAAAAUAAAAUAAAAAUAGAAAACUAAACUCUAUCUCUCCCUUCUCUUAAAAACAUGUCUUAACAUAUCCUACCCAACCCAACUAUGCUAAUCCUUAUCUAUAUCCAUCUUUUUAAAAAAUAAAAAACUAAACUUCCAAUUUUAUCCCUUAAAUCUCUACAACUAUAUCCAUCUUUUUUUUAAAAAAAAAAAAAAAAAAAACAAACUUCCAAUUCUACCCAUUAAAUCUCUACAACUAAAAAGAUAAGAAUAACCUAAAGAAAACUGAAAAUCCAGAUAAUAUAUUUUCGAAGUCCUAGAAAAAUAUAAAAAUUUGAAAAAUUAAAUUUUAUUUGCAUCAUUCUCUCGAGGUUGGGAGAAGCUCGACUUCGAGCUUACAUUUCUUAAAGGCCAAUGGUGUAAUUGGUGAUGUAGUCCGAUCAUUCUUGUCGGUACUGUGUCUUCAAUAAAUCAAUUCAUCAAAUACUUUGUAUUUAAGUUGAUGUCGAGCUUAAUCUUGAUUUCUUUUUCAAGUUCCUCAUAAAACUCAGGAUGAUCAAGCUGAAUACCAAGAUCAUGUAGAUGUUCUUCAGAUAGUGGUUCUUGCAUCACGAUACGCUUGUUACAUAUAGGAUUGGGAUUUAGAAUUGAUUUUGGUGGUAGUUUUGUCUAUAAGGUAAAAGUUGGCGCUAGAUCUAUGUGAUUGUGAGGACCAUCUUCUCCAAGAAUAGUGGUCUCUAAUCGUUGCAACCGUUGCUUCAUUUCAUGAACGUCGCUUUGAACAUCUUUUAUGACUUUGGUUAGAUUUUCUAAAAUGUCCCAUGCGAUUAUCCAUAAUAGGAUUAGUUUCGGUGGCGUUGUGAUGGUUGGAUAUGCUUUGCUUUGUUACCAAUUGAUGCAGGUAAAAAUAAUGAACCAGAAAAAAAUAAGAAAUAAAAAUAAAGGUUUGAGAGAUUCUACCCUCUCAGGGUUUACAAGGGAGUACACCCUAAGUUCUUUUCUCAUUUUGUUUAUUCCCCGAUCGCUCUCUACAAAGAAUUGACCUCUUCCCUUUAAAUACAAACAACAAUAAAAAGAAAAAAAAAAAAAAAACAAAAAAAAAACUAAAACUACCAUCUCUCUUUUAUCUCUUAAAAACAAGUGUAACAUAGCCUAACCAAUCCAACCAUGCUAAACAUUAUCUAUAUCUAUCUUUUUUCUUUUUAUAAAAAGUGCUACCCAUUAAAUCUCUUCAACUAAAAAAGAUGAGAAUAACGCUAAAGAAAACUGAAAAUCCAGAUAACAUAUUUCGUAAGCCCUAGAAAAAUAUAAAAAUUAAAGAAAUCAUUUUUUAUUGCAUCAGUUUUAGACUCCAAGGUUAUAAAGUGUGGCAUAUUAAGUACUCUGAAGGUCAUUAUAACGUAAUGGCCACAGUCAGAAGCAAUGUGUUAUAUGUAGAUAUGAAGGUAGUUGUCUAGAGCAGAUUAUUCACUUAUCGAUGUGUAUCAAUUGUGGGCAGAUUGUGAGUGCCAAUUUCUUAAUCUUGAUUUUUUAUCUUCAUUAUGUGAGAUAUAUUGACUGGCCAGAGUGUAAGUGCUGUUGUCUAAACCUUGAUUAUGUGUGUUCAUAUGGAUCACCAUGUCUUUCACAUUUAUCAUGGUAAUUGUUGAAGGAGUGAUCACAGCUUUUUGCAUCUGAAUGUUUGGUAUUUAGUAUGGAAAGAUUCCUCUUGGUUUCUUUGGUGCCAAACCUUAUGGGAUGAGAUUGGUUGUGUACCUUUUACGAGGAGAGAGGACCUUGUAUUGUGUUCAAUUUUUUUGGGUAAUUGUAGUUAAUAAUUAUAGUAACAGUGAAUUUUCCUACUCUUGAGGUAUCCUACUAUUGUUUAUUUGAAUUCCGGUGUUGAAAGUGUUUUGAUAGUUAAGGACUUGUAAUUUAUUUGUUAUUAGUUUUAUAUAUGUGUUUAUUUUAAUUCGUGUUUUCCCUUUUCUCCUUGCAUACUCCUGAUGAAAUUAUGUUUGGUUGGCAUUAUUUUAAAGAGGAUUAUUUAGGAAAUAUUCUGGAUUUCAAGUACAACCAGUAGUUUGUAUUUGAUACCUGUGAUGUUCUGAUGUUUCUGAGCAGCGCUACUUCUUUUCGGUAUAUUGUCGUAAAACUAACUGUGAACUUGUUUUGCCAGGGCAAGUAAUCAAAGGAUGGGACCAAGGGAUCAAAACCAUGAAGAAGGGGGAGAAAGCCAUCUUCACCAUCCCCCCUGAACUUGCCUAUGGUGCCUCUGGUUCUGAACCUACAAUACCACCCAAUGCCACCCUCCAGUUUGAUGUGGAGCUUCUCUCUUGGUCGAGUGUGAAGGAUAUUUGCAAGGAUGGUGGCAUAUUUAAGAAGAUCCUUGCUGAAGGAGAGAAAUGGGAGAACCCCAAGGACUUAGAUGAGGUUUUAGGUAUGCAUCACUUUCUCAACCUGGAACGGUUGCAUUAAUACUAAGAUUGAAAAUUUGAAUGUGGUUCUAUUUUACCGAAUUUUAAUAUUUGUGCAGUGAAAUACGAAGUGAGACUUGAGGAGGAUGGUACAAUUGUUUCAAAAUCAGAGGGGGUGGAGUUUACAGUGAAGGAGGGUGAGUAGAGAGAAGAAUGGAAUGCUUUACCUGUCAAGAGACGAAAAAAGUGCGACAGUACACUCUAGGGAGUGUCCACAGUUGAUUGUAUAUUUCGUCUCUCAUUCUUUAUGAUUGGAAUGCAGGGUAUUUCUGUCCUGCUCUGUCGAAGGCUGUAAAAACCAUGAAGAAGGGAGAGAAAGUACUGUUGACUGUGAAGCCUCAGUGUAAGUCAUAUUUUGAUGAUUACAUUAUGUGCAUGAAUAUGGUGAUUAAUGUGUUGUUACAAAACUUGAUAAUUUGUAGUUACAAGAGUGACUGAUGUUUUUUCUUUUGGGGUGCAGAUGGUUUUGGUGAGAAGGGAGGGGAAGCUUGUGGGGAAGAAGGGGCUGCUGUUCCAUCCAAUGCCACCCUCCAUGUUACUCUUGAGCUGGUGUCUUGGAAGACAGUCUCUGAGGUGACUGAUGACAAGAAGGUGCUCAAGAAGGUACUCAAGGAAGGAGAGCGCUAUGAGAAACCCAAUGAUGGUGCAGUUGUGAAAGGUAUGGAGCUCACCUUUGCCAUUGUUGAAUACUUCAUGGAGUGGUAAUUUGUUUUGCCCGUGGUUGUGUUUGCUAACACUCAUAAUUUUGUUGCAGUUAAGUUCACUGGGAAGCUGUUGGAUGGCACGGUGUUUGUCCAGAAAGGUUCUGAUGAGAAGCCAUUUGAGUUCAUGACUGGAGAAGGUGAGGAUAGAGCCCUCCUUCCUAGUUCCUUUCUACCCAGAGACACCCUGCUCUUUACAUGAGUGCUAAUGUUCAAUCAGGUUGACUUGUAUUUGAUGAAUUUCUUUAUGUACAGAGCAAGUGAUCGAAGGGCUUGAUAGGGCAGUGAUGAGCAUGAAGAAAGGGGAGGUAGCGUUGGUGACCAUCUCCCCUGAAUAUGCCUUCUCAUCCGUAAAUACGCAACAGGACCUGGCUGUAGUGCCUGCUAAUUCUACAGUGCAGUAUGAUUUGGAGCUUAUGUCUUUUGCUAAGGUUCUUUUUUCCUCUGUGCUCCCCGAGAAGCUAGUUUCUAUUUAUGUUGGUUUGUUCUUUAUGCAAAUCCUUAUUGCUAGAUGAUCUUCAGGAGAAGGAGUCUUGGGACAUGAACACAGCAGAGAAAAUUGAAGCGGCCAGUAAAAAGAAGGAAGAAGGCAAUGCCCUGUUCAAAGUGGGCAAAUAUCUAAGAGCUUCCAAGAAAUAUGAGAAGGUAAGAGAGAAGAAGCCUCUCUCUCUCUCUCUCCCUCCCCCCCCCCCCGAAGCUGGCUGAAAAUUUGGAAAUGGGCAUUUGCAGGCUGCCAAGUACAUUGAAUAUGACACUUCAUUUAGUGAGGAGGAGAAGAAACAGUCCAAGCAACUCAAGGUGACCUGCAACCUCAACAAUGCUGCAUGCAAACUCAAACUGAAAGACUAUAAACAGGCGGAGAAGCUCUGCACCAAGGUCUGCUUUUCCUCCACUUUUUCUCUAUUUACCUUUUAUUUUCAAGGAAUUUGAUGUAGGAUCAUGUCAUAGAUUAUAUGCUCUCUUUCUCUCUCUGUCUCUGUAGCUUCUCUCUCUUACUGUAUGUUAGCAUUGACAAUUUUGAAGUUAUGAAAUGUGAGCAGGUACUGGAUCUGCAGAGCAAAAAUGUGAAGGCUCUAUACAGGAGGGCACAGGCCUACAUUCAUACAGCAGAUCUGGAUUUGGCAGAGCUUGACAUUAAGAAAGCUCUGGAGAUCGAUCCUGACAAUAGGUAUACGCUGAGUUGUUGCUUUGUGAAGAGCGUUUCAGUUGUGAGUCUUAUAUAGAAUGUGUUCGAGGGGCAAGAAACGAUAGAUGGAACUGACCAAAUAUCUUUUGGUUUUUUAUGUAUUUGGAAUGAGUAGGGAUGUGAAGCUAGAGUACAGGACAUUGAAGGAGAAACUGAAAGAGUACAACAAAAAGGAGGCCAAGUUUUAUGGCAAUAUGUUCAGUCGAAUGAGUAAACUGGAGCAACUGGAAUCUAAUGUAUGUAAACAACACAGUUGAUAAUGAUCUCUCUCUCCCUCUCUCUCUCUGUACCUAACUGACAGUUUGCAUAUGCGUGAUGAAGCAGAAGGCUAACCAGGCAAGUAGCAAGCAAGAGGAGGAACCAAUGAACAUUGAUGGAGAGGCAGUGGCGGCAGCCUAGAGAGUGAUGGUCUCGAGUCUAUUUGGUUCCACUCCACGAGCACAAUUGAGAAAUGCAAGUGGGUGGUGUGGUUGCUAGUUCAUAUUAGAGUGUCUCUGAAACAGAAAUGACGUGUCAAGUGUUGUUAAUCGCAAGGUACAUUAUACAUAGGUUUCAUAUGGAGUUAUUAAUCUUAACUGUCUGGUUGAGUGAGUUCUAUGAGUGAGAGCUGACAAGUUACCCGCUGUAAGCACUGGGCCUUAACACUUUUUAAAAUUACACGCUCUUUCUACUUGUUCAAAAAAACUUCUGGUUAAUGUUACCCUUUCUGAAUGUCGAAUUGAGACACCAAUGAUCUGUAGAAUCUACAAUUGUUGGGGCUUUUCGAGUAUGGUUCAAUUUGGAUCAUUUACCAAGCUUGGAGCAUAUUAGAUUGGCAGGAAAAAGUCGGUAUUGUGGAGAAAAUACAAUUUCUUUUCCUUAUUAUAAAUAUGUGAAGAUGGAUGGGGGCAGGUGUUUGCAGUGGGGCGGGGUAGUGCCAUGAAUAUAAUAUGGCUCUAGUUCUUGCUCUUCUUUGUUUUAAAGGAUUCGUCUUUGAAAAUUUCAAUCUGUAUAAAUUAGUAUCCUGCCAUGACUCUUAUUUUACAGCCGCGUGAAAGCACAAGUUUUAGGAGGGUACAAAUUUAUGAGAGUUAUGAAGAUCAAUUUGUUUCUAUGCAAUGGUUUGUUCAUAGUAGUGGGUUGGAACCAUGGUUUAAAAAUCUGGAUUGGAUUUUUAAUUGUAUCUUUAAAUGUCGCGAAUCACCUAAUCCCUCACCUUAUGGUAGACUUGUCGAGGUGAGAUGUUGAGCUGAUAAUGCACAUUGAGGUUUAUGAGUAAAUGUUUUUUUUCAAUCUUUUUUACGACUUUUUAUGUUUUUUUCUGUCAUAUUUUGGCCUUUUGUAGUAAAUUAUUGAUUGAAAUCAUUAUUAAAUGGCUAUAAAAUUGCAAUCGAUUGUGUCGUUUUUUUAUAGUUUCUAAAUUUUUUUGCCAUUUUAUUGAUAUAUCUUCAGAAUAUUUUUACUGCAAUUUAGUACAUUUGAAAGAGAAUCUUUAUCUAAGCCUUUACAUAAAUGUGUGUUGAUUUAUUUGUUUUACCGAAGAUUCUAAGGUUGGACAAAAUGUUGGUGCUGAAAAACAAUGACCUUGAUUUAAAAUUAAAGAUUCUGAUCAAUUAGGUCGUUUUGAAUCAAAUUGAGUUGUGUUUUUUUAUCAUUAGGAUUUUAUCUCUUAAAUAAAUGAGGUAAAUUUAUUUAUCAUUUAGUACUUUUUUUAUGAAUAUUUUCUAGCUUGCAUGGGAUGAAAAGUUUAGGGUUUUGAAAAUUUUGCCAUUGCAUCAAUUUAAUCUUUGAUGUCGAAUUAUUUUUGCUAAAAUUUGAUGGGUUUGAAAGGGAAUUGAAGCUGUUACAUAAUAUGAGUAGUGAUUUAUUCGAUCUACAAAAAAUUGUGGUUCGAUUUUUGCUCAAAACAUUGCUACUGAAAAACUUGUUCCAUAUCUAAAAUUGAAAAUCCCGAUUGAUUUAUAGCUUGUUUGCAAUUAAAAUAAUUGUAGUUUUUAUCGUUAUGACUUUAUCUCUCAAACAAAUUAAAUAAAUUAAAGUAUCAUUAAGUAAUUUUUGUUCUAUGAAUUUUUUCUUGGUACCAUAUGAUGAAAAGUCUAGGAUUCUAAUAAUAUCCAUCAUUUUAUCGAUUUAAUCUUUGAUAUCAAACAAUUUUUGCUGCAAUUUGAUGCGUUUGAAGGAUAAGUAAAGCCUUUAUAUAAUAUGUGUGUUUAUUUGUUCAGUCUACAGAAGAUUGUGAGUUAAUUUUUGUUUAAAACGUUGCUUGAUUUUUCGAACUUUUGAAAAAAUUAAUUUUAAAAAAAAACUUAUUUUGCUAAAUAAAAUUAGGUCUUAUGAUGAAUAUGGGCUCUUGAUACAUAUUGCGUGGGAAUAAAUAUUUUCUAUUUUUAAUUAUCUUCAGUUUUUUCUCAUGAUUUUGCAAAUUUUAGGGGAAAAAUGUUGGUUUUUUUAAUUUUUAUUCUUUUUUUUUCUUUUAAUGUUAGAUUCGUUCUUUUAAUAUUGUAGUUUUUUUAAUCUUGUUUUUAAUUAUUUUUUUAGUGAUAUGAAUGAAUGAUUGAUAGACAUCUAAACAAGAAAACGCUUACGCAUUCACGUAUUUUAACAAAAUAAUGAAAAAUAUAUAAUGCAUUAGUCCCAAAACUUUUUAGAAACUCAAAAAAAUUAUUUUUUAGAGAUUUUUAGUGAUUGUUCUAAUUUUUAUUGGGCCGAAACCUACCUGUCCAUCCGAUUCUGCAAUCCAGAUCAUUGAUCCAUCGAUCUGACAUAAUUUUUGAGGUGGCUGAUCGAAUUACCGAUCCGUUUUUUUAAACCUUGAUUGGAACAAUAUAUUCGAUAAUUAUUAUUAUUAUUAUUUGAAACAAACAUAAAAAACGAAAAAAAUGGAAGGGAGACAGGAGAUCAAUUAGGAUCUACCAAAGGACAAAUCUUUUGCAAAAUGAACCGGAUCCUUUUGAGUGUGGUUUUGAAGAAACUUCACUCAAGCUUCUCAAUUUUUUGAGUGAUCACUAGAUAGGCUCUGAAAUUGCUGGGUUUUGUCGGCUCCUAGUUUCGUGAUUUGGGGGGAAUCAUAUGCUCUAGUUUUUAACAAAUUUUAGGAGCAACAAUUCUUUUAUUUGGUUUGUAGUUGGUAAAAGUUUUCAGUUCAUAUGUUUCGAUUUUGAUUUUCUCACUCAGUUGUAGGGAUUUUGUAAAAGUUUUUGGCAAAAUCCACCAAAUUGAAGAUUUAAUCUUAGAUUUUUGAACUAAAUCAAAGGAUUUUCAUUCACAAAUUUCUACAUUAGUACAGCGUCCCUUUAAUGGACAAAAACUUGGAUUUAUAUAAAUCUAGCCCAAAAAUCUGAGAUCAAAAUUGGAGCACAGUUUGGCUCCUUGAAAUUUUUUCUUUUUGAAAAAAAUAAAAAAUUUUCGUGGAUAAAUUGUUCAAUUAUCUUAGGUUUUGUUUGGUUUCAUGUUAGGAAGGAUCAUUCAUUUGAUAUUUUCUUUGUUUUAUAUACGUAUUUAUUAUCAUGGCUAUGUUUUGAUUUUUUGGAUAAUUCCUCUCUUUUUUAGAGAAAACAUAAUCUAUUUUGAUACUACUAAAAGAAAAAUUUUAGAUUCUUUGUUUUAUAUACGUAUUUAUUAUCAUGGCUAUGUUUUGAUUUUUUGGAUAAUUCCUCUCUUUUUUAGAGAAAACAUAAUCUAUUUUGAUACUACUAAAAGAAAAAUUUUAGAAGCGAGGAUAGCGUCAAACCUGAGACCUGAGAGGGGGUGUGUCUUGAGGAUGGUGAUUGCAUAAUUUGAAAUUUAUUUCAAGAACACAUUUUUAGAGAGAGAAAAGAAGCUUUUGAGAAAAUGGGAGCUCAAUAAUUUUCGCUGUUUCAUGCUCCUAAACUGCUUUAUUUAUAGGAAAGAGAAGGGGGCCUAAUGUUCCAUAUCUCAAUGGGUUUCUCAUAAACAAUCACUCAGAUUUUAGGGAUGCUUAUUUGAUGCAAAUCGCAUCUGAAACAUUUAUUUAUUUUUAAUUUUUUUAAAAUUAAUUUUUAGGGAAGUAGGUAGACUUCUUUUUAUUAUGUAUUAGUUUUAUUUUUUAAGAAUCACAUUAUCAAGGUUAAAUAUUGUUUCUAUUAAUAUUUUGGGGGUGUGAUUCGAAUUAUAUGGUCCUUUUGCUAUGUAACUAAGUUAGGGAGAAAGAGUUUGGGGGACUAUGGCAUGAUUUGAAUAGGGCGAAGAGUACCUAUUUUAGUGAGGGAGAUAAUGAUUCCUUGCUUUAAAGAAUUUAAUAAGGUGAGGUAUUGAAGAUUAACUUUCCUUUUUGAUGGGGUGAUAAGUGAAUGGGGUAACAAAGACAAAGAGGGAACUCAUGUGGCAUAUUGGUGGUUGAAGGGAGGGUGAGAAAAAAUCCUAAAAAACGGAUCCAGAAAGAAAAUAAGAAAGUUUGGACAGAUGUUGAUUUGCAUGAUUUAUAGAGAGAUUCAUGAAAGGUUACAUGAGAGAAAUGAGUUGCAAAGAGAGACUCUUUUUUUAAUUUUUUAAUUUUGUAUUUAAGAGGGGUGGCAUCCCAAUUAGAAGGAUUUUGGAUAUUUUUGUCGAGAGUUUUUUAUGAAUGAAGAAAAAUAGUUUCUUUUUCUCUUGACUUGAUUUACAACCUCCUUUUGUCUCGUAAUUGUUGAAUUUUUGCUUGUUUAAGAUCAACAGAAUGCCAGAGUUUUUAAGAUCCCUUUGCAUUAUUUAGUAUGAGAGCACAGUUCAAAAAGGUUCGCAACUACAAUGGCUAGUCAUGGAGGUUGCAACCGUAGAAAUGCCGAACAAGACCAAAUGUACAAAAAAAUCGACAACUUGAUAGAGAUGAUUGAAAAUUUGUUGCAAAAAAAAAGGUUGCAACAUCACACAUAGAACAAGAUGAUAUCUAUAGUUUUAGUAUUGGGUGAGUGUGGCCAUUAAAGACUUUAUGAGUGUUUGUAAUUAAAUAUUUUGAUAUAAUGAAACAUGAACUCAAUGGGAGUAUGGUCCCUCAUGGACUCUACUAAGCAAAUAAAUGAUUGCUGAUAUCAGACUGGGGUUGACGAGCUAGGCCAGUCGGUUGGGAGAAACCUAUGCUACAUAGGCAUAAAAAACUAUCUGAUAAGGGUUCUAAUAGAUCAUUUCUUGAUGAGGUCGAAGUAUGUUCAAAUGAAUGAGCCAAAGGCCUAUGUGACCCAUGUGUGUGAUGAUGGCCUUCAGAGACGGUAGCCAAAGCCUCAUUUAAGUACCAUUACAUAACAUGCAUAAUGAUAGCCGUUUCGAGAAAGGGAACCACUUUUUAGGGUGAAGCUGAGGCAUGUGCGAGAGAUACCCUUAUGUACCAAAGGAGCUGUGAUAGCAUUAGGUUUAGGUGACAUUGGAACAUCUCUAGGGGAGAGUCUGUAAUCCACAAACUGAGAUUACGACCCAUUUGCUCAUCGGGUAGACUUUGGCGACCUACGAAUGAGCCCCUGCAAGGACUGUGGGUCAUGAGAAACACAUGGUCUGUUUGAUAUAGCAAGUGUUGUCUGUAGUCCGCAGUUGAAGGUAGAAUGCCCCAAUGUUUAUUGAUUUAAUUCCUAGACCAUAUGGAUCAUGUUCUUAUCUAAUGAAUUUAAUUAUGUUUGUUUUGUGGUAUACAUUAUUUUAGAAUUAUUAUUUGAAUUUUUAUAAAUAUCUGGAUAUUUUAUUUAUCAAUUUUGGAUUUAUAAAAUCAGACAUAUUGAUUUUAUGUUGAUUUAAAUAUUUAAAUAAAUUCUAAAUUUUUUUUAUUAAAUUUUAAAUAGUUAAAAUUGCAUGGGGGCCCAUUGUGCACAUGGGCCCACCAUGACCUAGAUGGUGGGGCCCAUGAAACUCUUUCAUGGGUGGAACGCCCCACCCAUUUCCUUUUGAUGAAUAAGAGACUUUGACUUGUAGUCAAAGUAUUAUGUGUUUUGGAAAGGAAUUGGCUUGAGGAAGCUUUGAAUGGAUUUUUUGAAAGCAUGAGAAGGUUUGUGCCUUAUUUUGGAAUGCAUAAUAUUUUAUUUGAAAUUAUUUUAUUUAAUUUCUAUUGAUGAGAACAUAGUGAAGGAAAGAGAGAUAAGGGUUCUAGCACCCUCCAUAAUGUUCAUGACCCAUUUAUGGAAUGGAGGGCUCAAAUCUCUCACUCCACAAGUCACCCAAGAUCAAUGGUUCAUGUUUAAUCUCAUAAACGAGGUAAGCCAUGGAAAACCCUAAGAAACCCUAAUUUUAUUCUUGCUCUAUAAAUAAAAGACCUCUCCCCAUAAAAAUCUUUACACCAAAAUUUCUCUCCUCUCUCUCUCUAAUAUUUCUCUAUCUUGGUAGCAAUAGGAGGCACGCCCCAAAGCCUAGAGCUCUCCUCUCUCUCUCUCUCUCUCUCUCUCUCUCUCUCUCUAGCCUAUUCUAAAGGGCACGCCCCACCUAUUGGAGUUCUCUCUCUCUCUCUCCUCUCUCUCUUUCUCAUCUUGUUUUAAACCUAAGGGUUGCGUAGUAUUAAGAAGAUGAUAUCCUAGACUAGGUUUUGAAGGUUUGAACCUGAAGUCUAAAGUCUCGUGAUCAAGAGUUCACAGUUGCAUUGAUGGGCUUGGCCUAAACUUGCUUCCCCAGUUGAGAUUGAAGGCUGAUCGUUGAUCCCGUGCCAUCGGAUGAUGGUGAUUUGACAUGGGGUGUAAUAAGCCCGGUUGAAGUAAUCUCUGAGAUAUCUUUUGCUUCUUGCGUAUCUAAUUAUAAUCUCUUUAUAUUCCCAAGCAUAUGAAGUAAUGGUUAUUUUCUUUGUUUAAACAAAAUUGAUUUAGUGGCAUCAAGGUUUUAAGAUCUUGACUUUACUUUUCUUUGAAGCACGAGUUAUUAUAAUAAGACUACUUGUAAGUGAUCUUUGUUAAAAUAAAAACGGUGAAAAAUAAGAAAAUAAAAAUAUACAUACCCUGACAAGAUUACCUUAGUCUUUCUUUCAUUGCUAUCAGAGCAUAAUUACUUGUUGUCAUUAGGAAUCUUUUUUCUUUAUUGAGUCCAGAUUUUGCUUGGGAAUAAAAAAUAUGGUUGCUUAUACUUUCAUCUGGGAGAUUCUGAAACUGAAAGGUUUGAUGAGACCAAUUAUGCCUCUUGGAAAAGAAAGAUUGGAUAUGUCCUUUAUGAAGAAUACUUGCAUGUGACGCGCUCUAUGAGCGUCUUCCUCAUCGUCCAAUUGACAACUCAUCUCAAGCAAUCAAAGAUGAGUAUGCCACUUGGAAGAGAAGGAACUUGAGAUAUAAGCACAUCCUUUUAUGCGCCAUGACCGACUAGUAUGCUUUCGAGUAUGAGUCAAUUUACACUGCAAAUGGGAUUUAUGAAAGGUUUGAGAGAAAGUAUGCAGAUCCCUCUCUCAUGAAACAAGCCAUGGCUAUGAAAAUGUAUAAUGAGUUAAAAAUAACAGAGGGAACUAAAUUCUCGAAUCAUGUGCACAUCUUUUGCACAUUAGUUCGAGAGAUGGAAGACAUCGACAUGUAACCUACUCAUGAGAAACUUUUGUGUCCCCCCUAACUCAUGAAUUCACUUCCUAACUCAUGAGAAACCUUUGUGUCCCCCUAUAGGCUAGAAAGAAGUCAUUAAAGUUGGAGGAGCUCAUCACGACAAUCAAAGGAGAAAAAGAAAAUGAAGAACUCAAAGCAUGCACUGACGUCAACCCCAAGGGAGGCCGUACACAUGGUCAAAUUUCCAUUGUCUUUUAAACCUAAGAAAUGAAAAGUUAAAAACAAUUUUAGAAAGAGAGGAGACUUCAAAGGGAGAGAUUUUGGAAAUAAAGGAGGGAAGAUAGAGACUAAGACUUGCUUUAUUUGCAAGAAGGUGGGCUACAGGCCAAGUAUUGUCGGUCUAACCAAUUUGGUAAUAUCAACAAGGAACUUGUUUGUGUGAUCUUUGAGACGUUGCUAGCUGACCCCAAGGGAGCUUCUUGGUCUCUUGACUCGGGAGCUACGGCUCAUAUCACGAACACAAAACAUUCUUCUGCUCUUUCACUCUCAUGGGGCUGCGAGAGCAACAUAUCUAUAUGGCAGGAAACCAAGAGACCGAUGUGCUUGGAGACGAGGAUUUUGAGGUUAAAUUGAAGAGUGAGAGCGUAUUGAUCCUAAAGCAACCGUUUUAUGCUCUCAAUAUGAUGAAGUGUUUGGUUUCGGUUCCCAAGAUGUCUCUAGCUGGAUUUAUGACCACUUUCGUUGGAAAGAAAGUGGUAAUCAAGAAAGGCAAUAAUGUUGUCAUGACUAGACAUCUUGUGGAUGGCUUAUUUACUAUUGAAAUGAAAGAGAACAUUGCUUAUGUCUUGUCCCCUAAUGGAUUAGAUACUUACCCUAUGGCAUAUGAGGCUAGGACACAUUAACUACAAAAGAAUAAAACAAUUGAAAAAGGACGAUAUUCUUCAAAAUUACAAAGGUGAUUUAUCGAAAGUGUGUGAGUUUUGUGUGCAAUGAAAACUAACGGGGAAAAAUAUCACCGGGACAAAAAGAGCUGCUAACGUUUUAAAAAUCAUUCAUAGCGAUAUAUGCGGUCCUAUGAAUGUGGCUACCAAAAGCAGCAAAAGAUAUUUUAUCACUUUUAUAGAUGACCACUUGCAAUAUGACCAUGUGUAUCUUAUUCACAAUAAAAAAAUCUUGAAAAUUGACGGUCCAAAAAUACGUCACAAAAUAUAUUAUUUCCAAAACUUGAAAUCCAUUUUUUUCUCAUGUCCAUGCAUCUUGAUGUUGAAAUAAUCAAUUUGAAGAUAUUUAGGCACCAAAACAACCUUUUCUAGUGAAAGUUUUGAGGUAGGCUCAAUUUUAAUUGUUUAGAGCCUCGACUCUAUAUAAACUUUUCCCUUUAAUUAUAUAGUCUUUAUAUUCCCAAGCAUAUGAAGUAGUGGUUUAUUUUCUUUGUUUAAAGAAAAUUAGUUUAGUAGCACCAAGGUUUUAAGAUAUUGGUUUUAUUUUUCUUUAACGCAUGACUUAUUGUAAUAAGACUACUUGUAAGUGAACUUUGCCAAAAUAAAAUGGGGUGAAAAAUAAGGAAAUAAAAAUAUACAAACCCCAGCAAGAUUACAUUGGUCUUUCUUUCAAUUAGAUCCAUAUUGUGUGAGUUUUGUGAAAAUCAGCAUAAAUCAGAGCACGAGUUUGGGAGGGAACGACUUGAUGUUAUGAUUGAUCACACUUAUGGGUUCGAUGCAAGACAGCAUCAACGGGAGCAUGAAUGCUGAGAAAAAAUUGAGCAACCGACAAUCCCAAAGCCGAUGUUAUUGGCAUAGGGGAGUAGACCAAAAUCAGUGUAGAGACGAGCAAAGAAAUAAAUUUUUCUCAUCCAAAUCUAACUCUAGAGUAAGAUCAUCCCAGGCUAUGAAACUGAUACCUCCAACCCAAGGAGUUGCUAUCUCUACAACAAACCUUGAGCAUUACACAAGUAAACAGAUAAAUGUAUGUGAUUUCUUGAUCAAAGAAAACCUAAAUUUGUUAUUAGAGAGAUUGAUAAAUUGAAAGACAAAAAAAGUCCUAAAUCUAAUGAGAAAAAUGUUGAUGUAUUUAUGAAAAAGAAAAGAUAAUUGGGGGUAUGCAACAUUGUUAUCGAUAGUCGGAUGGAGGAUUCUAAAUCUAACAAAUGAAGAAAUUCAUCAUUGCAUCGAUCACAAGGAAAUGUUAACUUUUAACAUUAUUUCUAUUGAAGAUAAUGUUGAAUUUGCAAGUGAUUCACUCCUAAUGAACAAGGAAGAGAGCAACCGAUAACUGUUAUCAAAAGGGAUUUGAUAUUAGAUGAGAAAGCAGGGAUAGUGGUUUUUGAUCAAAUCAAAGUGUUGAUGGUUAGAUAUGAACUAUCUUUGUUAUCAUUGAGUGAGGAGAGUCUACCUAAGUCUUUUAAAGAGGAGGGUAUGGCUCUACUCUCAAUCCGACAACGUACAGAGGAAACUGAUGUUCAAGACAAUGCUAGUAAGAAUAUUGUUUCUCAAUAUCUUUCUGAUUUUGGGAGGCCAUAGGAGAUGAACAGUAAGGAACUAAAGUUGUUUGCAGCUUGAUUUCUUAACAAUAUAUUUGACACAAGUAAUGUUCACCUUGAAGUUGAUAAUCAUAUUCUCAAUGGUGAAAGAAAGGCUAAGUCAAUGCUUUGUUAUGAAUGGGUGAUUUCGAUCUCAACUCAUGUAUUUUGUGCUGAAAGAAACUAUGGGUUGAACAUAUGACUUAUAUUAAUUCAUUUCAAAAUUCGUGGCCGAUUUUUCUCAAGUUCCUUUGGCAAUUGGUUACAAUGAGAUAAUUGGUUUUCAAUAUUUCCAUUCUACUUGUGCUGUUAUUUUUACGUCAGAGUGGCACAAUGAAAUUGUGGAGUGUGUAGUAGCAACCAAGCAAAUGUAUGUCAAAAUUUUGAAAUUUGGACCUAUUGGUAAUGUUUGUGUUGUCAUUGCAAUCUCACUAAUUCAUUAACAAGAGGGCUAGUCUCAUUCCCAUAGAUUCAAUGUUCACUCCUACUUCUUAUAAGGUUGUUUUCAAUGGAUAUCCUCAAGAUGGUAUGAUAAGGAAUUAUGUGAGAAACUUUCCUGCUAUAUUCUCACAUGAUGUUGAAACAAGCUAUUCUAAUCUCCAUGUUAUUAUCAAUAAGUACUUAUUCUUGACCUUGAGAAAUUCAAUCUUUAGAUUUCAAGGUCAAGAGUCUAAUGGUAAGUGGGGCAUAGGCUCAAAUGUUUUUGUGGGGAGUUCUUUUAUGUUUAUCUAUACUGGGCUUGAUUCAUUGUUGGAUGGCUUCCUUUCGGAAUAUUAUGGACCCAAGACAUUAUUAAUUUGAGAUAUUUGAUAACAACUUAUGACUUCGACGGCCUUACAGAAAUGGCUAUGGGUUUUAUUUGGGGGUUCCAGGCUUUAAAACUGAAACUAAAUGAGCUUAAACUCGUUGGUUAUAUGCUAAUCUCCGCAGCGUCCUGUACUUGAGAGCAUUUUGGGCAAGCCUAUACUCUCGCUUUAAAUAAAAUAUCUUAGUAUGCCAUGAAGUAUAUGAAAGAGUAAUCUCUUUAAGCUAUGAAUCAAUUAUCUUGGUAUUGGCGACACGUGAAGGCUAUGUAAGCGCGAAAGUUGUUGAUGUUUGUGAUGCUGCCCAUAAAGUACAUACUCCUUGCAUUAUUGUCGAAGCUUACAACCUAGACAUGUUAAGAAUGUUAAGCCUAAUGCUUCACAAAGAACAUUUGCAUGGAGAUGUUGGACUUUACCAUCAACUAAAGAAAAUCAAUGAUUCCGCAACAAAACCUCGAGAUGAGUUUUUUUUUUUUUUAAAUCCAAGAAGUAUAAUGCAAAUCACAUCCGAAACGUUUAUUUAUUUUAAUUUUUAAAUUAAUUUUCAAGGAAGUAUGUAUACUUCUUUCUAUUAUUUGUUCACUUUAUUAUUUAAGAAUCACAUUAUCAAGGUUAAAAGUUGUUUCUAUUAAUAUUUUGGAUGUGGGAUUCCAAUUUGUAUGGAGUGCUCUUUCCUUUUUGCUAUGUAACCAGAAGUUAGGGAGAAAGAGUUUGGGUGACUAUGAUGUGAUUUGAAUACAAUAAUACUUAUUUUGGUGGGGGAGAUAAUAGUUCAUUGUUUUAAGGGAUUUAACAGGGUGAAGUAUUCAAGAUUAACUUCCCGUUUGGUUGAGAGAUCAAGUGAAUGGGGUAACAAAGAGAAAGGAGGAAGUCACAUGGCAUAUUGGUAGUUAAAAGGAGGGUGAGAGAAGAUUCUAAAAACGAGGAUCCAGAAGAUAAAAUAGGAGAAUUUAGAAAGGUGUUGAUUUGCAUGAUCCAGAGAGAAAUUCAUGGAAGGUCACGUAAAUUGAAGAGAGAGAAAAGAAAGAGAAAGUCAUGAGUUGUAGAGAGAGGCUUUUUUUUUUUUUUUGUAUUUAAGAGGGGUGGCAUCUCAAUUAGAACGGAUUUAGAUAUUUUGUAGGGAGUUUUUUUAUGAAAGAAGAAAAGAGAGUUUCUUCUUCCAGUAGAUUUACAGUCACCUUUUACCCUCCAUUAUUAAUGAAUUUUUGCUUGUUUAAGACAAAAAGAAGGCGGAAUGUAAUUUUCUGAGCUCCUUUUGCAUCAUUAUCCUCAUCUCAUGACCGCUAAAAAAAAGAAGUUUAUAAAAUUAUUAAUUAUAUGCAUAUUAUAUUUAAUAAAAUGAUUUAACAAAAGGAUAAGUACAAAAAAAAUAUACUACCCUGGGAUUCCUCUCAUAAAAAUCAGUGGCAUUAGGCCCAUGGCCAUAUGCAUCAACAUCUCCUAUUUGGCUAUAAGGGUUGAGUGGAAUAAUUUGUUAUCAGUAUACUCCGCUUUUGAGAAUUACUUUUAUGACAAUAUAUUGUCACGAUAUUUUUUUCAUGUUUUCAUAGAUAUGCCUCUCAUAACAAUUGUCUAUAAUUUUCAUCAUGAGGAUUUUCGGAUUUGUCACUUAUGGAAACUAACUAACUUAAACAUGUUUAAGUCCGAUUAAGAUAAUGUGCUUAAAAAUAGUUCCACACUUAGAGUCAUUGUCAAUGUGUCAGCAAUCAUAUAAGAUGAUGACAAAUUACUAACAGUUACCUCAUUUUCUCAACUACAUCAUGAAUGUAGUGUUAUUGUAACUCUAUGUGUCUUCUUUUGAAGUUAUUUGUUCCACUUUGUAUUAAUUUAAUUGCAAUGUAAUUAUCACAAAACAUUUUAAUUGGCCCAUCGAUUAUGUGCAGUUUCAAGUCAUCUAUGAAGCGCUUUAUUCGAACUUCAUAAGUACAAACAAUGCUAUAUGCAAUGUACUCGACUUCUUCUGUGUAUCUCAUAACAUACCCUUGUUUCUCGUUAGACAAAGAAACAACAACACCUUCAAAGAGAAAAAUAUGCCUUGAGGUGGACUUACUAUCGUCCUUUUUCCCAACAAAAUCUGUAUCUGAAUAGCUUAGAACUUCAAGCUUAUCUACGUGAAAAUAUAAUUUAAGAUGCUUUGUCCCCUUAAUAUACCUUAGAAUUCCUUUGACUGUGUUCCAAUGGGCUAUAUUGGGAUUGCUUUCAUAUCUACACAAGACCUACAACAUAACUCAAAUCUAGUGUUGUACAUCAUACUACAUAUACAUAGCUUGUGCAUAUGGAAUAUUAAGUUUUUCUUGCUCUUCUAUUGGACAACAGACGUAGAUAGUGGUUUAUAAUUUUUCAUUCUAUAUCUCUUAAGAGCAGAGUCAAGAUAUCAUUUUUGAAUAAAGUUCAAUAUUGUAGAUUUUUUGUGUCUAGUUAUUUUUAUGCCUAGUAUACAAGAUGUAAAUGGUUGCUUCAUGUAAAUGGCUUCAUUUAGUACAUCAUUAAAAAAUGCAGUCUUUACAUCUAUUUGGCUAAGUUCUUGGUCAUAUAAGUGAUGCUUAUUCUAAUGGAUAUAUACAUUGCUAUUGGGGAAAAAAUGACAAUAUAGUAAACUCUAUUUCUUUGGGUAAAACCCUUUGCUACAAACUGAGCUUUAAAUUUAUCAAUAGAUCUAUUAGAUUUUAGUUUCUUUUUAAGUACCCAUUUGCAACCCAUAGGUUUUCUAUCUGAGGGUAAAUCACAUAGAGCCCAAAUUUCAUUUUGCUCAAAUAGAGCCCAUUUCUCCUCUCAUGGUAUUAAGUCAUUAUUAAGAUUUUUGUGAUUUCAUUGCAUCAUUGAAGUCAAAGGGAUCAUCAAUAUCGUCUAGGUCAAUACAGUUAUCUAUCUCCUCACUCAUGCAAGCAUAGAAAUCAUUAAAAUAUGAUAUAGAAGCUCCAGACCUCUUUGGGUGUUUGAAUACUUCAACAUCAUCAUAUCGAUUCGUGUUAUCCAUAUCCACUAAAGGUAGUGGUUCUCAGUCACUUAUGAUCUUAAGAGGAUCAUCAUUAUCUACUACAUGUGGAUUUUCUUCAUUGAAAUCUUAUAGGAACUCAGCAUCUCUGCUUUCAAUGAGUAUCUGAUCCUUAUGACAAAAUCUAUAGCCCUUUGAUCCUUCAAGGUAUCCUAUAAAAUUAUAUACAAGAGUUUUAUCUUCAAAUUUAUCUAUUUUUUGAUGUAGAAUUAUAAGAUGUGUUAUUGACCCCUAUUUCUUUAAAUUACUUCUAUCAGGUCUUCUACCUGCCCACAAUUCAUAAGAGGUAAAAUUUAUUGACUUAGUUGGAGCCCUAUUAAGUAUAUACAACGUUGUACUCAAUGCUUUUCUCCAAAAAGUCUUGGAUAAACUAGCAUGAGCUAUCAUGGAUCUAGUCAUCUCUAAGAGGAUUCUAUUAUGCCUUUCAGCUAUACCUUUUUGUUGUAGCAUAUAAGCAUAGUAUGUCUUUUAAUACUAUUUUCUUUGCAAUAAGUGUUAAAAGCUUCAGAUGUGUACUCACCUCCUCUGUCAGUUCUAAGCAUUUUGAUGUUUCUAUCCAAUUACUUUUCUACUUAUAUAUUUUAAAUAUUUCGAAGGCUACUGACUUGUGGUGGUUUAAGUAAACAUAUCCAAACCUAGAAAAAGCAUAAUAAAAGUGAUGAAGUAUGACAUCUCUUUAUGAGUUUUAACAUUGAUAGGCCUACAAAUGUCUGAGUGGACCAUAUUCAAUAGCUCAUUAACUCUCUCCCUUUAUUAAAUGGUUUCCUAGUCAUUUUUCCUGACAAAUAAUGCUGACAAGUUGGAAAUUCCACAUUAUUGAGAUUUAGAAUAAGACAUUUUUUUAUUAACUUAUUUAUCUUGUCAUUUCCUAUAUGCCCAAGCCUAAGAUGCCCAAUGUAUGCGUCAACAACCAUUGCACAAUCAACAUAACCAAAAUAAAUAAAAACUUUAUUAUAAACUUUACAUGAAGAAGGAACAAAUUAUGCUCAUCAACCAAGAAUCCCAAGCAUAAAUUUGACCAUGCAUUUUGAUUGACACACAAUAAUCAGAAGCGAACUUCAAAGCCCGUUCAAAUAAAUAAAAGGUCAAAUACCAUAUUUCGCCUCAUACUAGGCAUAAAAUAUGCAUCAAUGAAUAUACGACAGACUGCCCCUACAUACAACCUAUCUGUUCUUAUACUUAAUACAUCAGAAUAAGUGUUGUUCCCCAUGUAGGUAUGUAUCUCCUUAGCUUUUAUGUGUUUAAAGUCAUCGAAAAGGCCUUUUGAGCUUGCAAUAUGACGAUUAAUGGUUGAAUCUACCCAUCAUCCAUUAAUAUAGUUGUUUGCAAGCAAGCACUCUGAGACCACACUAAUGACUUUACGCCUCUUGCUCUUAUUUCCACUAUAUUUCUGAUUUUGCAGGUUUUAUAUAUGUGGGCAUCAAUUUUUGAAUUGACAUACCUGACCACUUAUGAAGCAUUUUGGCAGUCAUUGUUUAGUCUCAUGGUUGUGGGGCUUAAUUCCUUUAUUUUUUAACCUAUUAUUUCUCUCAAGGUUUAGAAAAAAAGAUCGGUGACCCGUAUCGACCACCCCCAAAAUCGUGUGAGAUCAAUGGAUUGGCGAUCUUGAUCGAAGAAUCAGCCAGAUCGAAAAGUGUUGGCAUUAAAAAAAUUUAAAAAAAUCACUAGAAUUUCUUAAAAAUCUAGUUUUUUAGGUUUCUAAAAAAAUACUAGUGUUACAUUUUAAUUUUUCAUUAUUUUGCUAAAAAUAAAUAAAUAUUAAGAGUUUGUCUCAUGUUUGAGUGUUUGUUAUCCAUUAUAUUUAUUAUAUGGGAAAAAUAAGAUUUAAAUAGAACUAAUUGCAAUACAAUAGAUAUCUCCAACUCAAAUUUUGAUAGUAAAAAAACAAAAUUUGUACAAAAAGGAAUUUUUAUAAUAAAAAAAUUUCCUUUUCAAAGCAUUCUUUGAACAAUUAAUUAUUGGAAUUUUCAUGAAAAAUCAUAUUUCAACAUGUUACAUAUGGUUUACAUAGGUUUUUCACUUAAUACGAAGAAAUCAUAUUGCAACUAACAGACCUAUGUGGUUUACAUAGGUUUUUCACCACUUUACACAGCUAUUUCUUUGUGCUCUUUCAUUUAAUCAAAGAGUGUGGUGUAGAAGUGGCAAAAGAGCCCAGAGAAAAAUAAUCCCACAUCGGGACUUUAAGAAUGAAAACAUGUCCGUAAAACUUACAUCCCCAAUCCGAAAAUUUAAAAGAGUUGAAGAUGGCGUGGCCAUGCGAUAUGCGGAGCACGUGUUGGGCUUGAUGGGUUGGGCAAUUGGUGCGCACGUGGGAUUUGACGUCACAUAUGCAUUAAAGAUUGGUGGGUCAACAUUAAUGUGGGUAGCGAAGCCACAACAACAUUAAAGAUUGGUGGGCUAUUGCAGGUUUUAUUUUUAUUUUGGAAAAACAUGAGAUUUGAUAUUGAAAACUUGGAAAUACAAGUGGAAAAGCACUAUUGCACUCGGGAACAAUCCGAUAUUGAAAACUUGGAAAUAGAAGUGGAAAAGCACUAUUGCACUCGGGAACAAUCCUGUUUUGUGUCAGAGGAAUGGUAGAGAACUAGUACAGACCGGUUCGAACUAGCCGGUUCUUAAGAAACCUAGCUAGAUUUGAUAUAUUAUGGGUGUAGACGUCUUGAUCUCGAUUGAAAAAAUUAUGGAUAUGCUAAAAUGUCUUAGGAAGAUCACUUAAAUAUUUUAAACCAUUCACCCCACCUGAGCCUUUUACGUAGGCUCUAUCGACUCAAUAUUUCUCCGAUGGGAUCAAAGGCAUCUCAGUCACAAAACAGGUGGCCAUGAAGGUCAGAGGUCUUGUGCCAUUCCUAAUGGUGGCCAGUGCCUUCCUAGUGGCGGCCAGCACCACUCCAAAGGCUACAAGACCCAAGGCACCCACGACCGUCUAGAAUGAAUAGAAGUCUAGUGACAUUGCCAACGUCGCCAGCUCCAUUCUGAAUGUCGCCAGUCUCGGAGACCUCCAAAAGGGGGGAAACAGCCUUGGCUGAGGAGAGUUAGAAGAUACACUGACGUGGCAGGCCGCACUGACAGACAUAACAAGGCUGUAUACGGACUAUGGUUGUCGAAAUAUGAUAAGCUGAGGUUGAGAAGAUAGUACAACUAGUGUGGCGUGCCAACUAGCGUUUGGCGAUAUUGCAAAUGUUGUUGGCACCGUUCGGAGUAGCUUCAAGCUGUGAUUGGUCCAUCAAAACUAUAUCAGAAUCACCAAAACACAACGCGUGUCCAAACAAGAAGUUGAAGGAAGUCGAAAGGCCGUUGGCACCAUUGCUGAUGGUGUCAGUUACUGACAGGGCUGUAUCAAUCGCAUUAAAGAGAAAUUAAUAUUUGUUGAUCGUCAUUAAUACAACAUUAAUGAUGUGGAGUUGGUCCAAGUACCACCGGUGCCACUCCAAACGUUGCCAAAACUCUGAUGGUCCAAAAUUCACACAAAACCGACCUACGGGCGAGUGCAAAGUCUAUUUUUGUCUAUAAAUAUCUCCUUUUGCCUCAGGCCUAAGGUCUGGAUUUUCAGGAUUUUUGAUCCUAGGCUAUGUCCAAACCCCUUUGAUCUUGAGUUCAAGCUUAAGGAUGUAUAAGAAAGCCCUAAGGUGAGCCCAUUUGAGUAACCCCCCAUCUCUCCUAAACCCUUGAAUUCAAAACUAAGCUUCUAACCCCUUCAAGCUAUCUUAUCAAAUCGAAGGCGGUUUGGAUAAUCCGACUGUCCAGGCUCUCUUCCUCCAAUUUCUAUUUUCCCCAUUAACAAUUGAAAGUUCGGGAUUUCUAUGCAACUAUUCGAACUGAAUCAAUGAUGAGCCUGGGGGCCCGACCUACAACAUCAUUUUCUCGUUCCUCUCCUCUUACUUCUAGUAUUUUUGAUAGUUGCAUUCAUGUUUUUUUUCCUUAUUUUCCCUUUUCGUAUGACCAUAUUUACUUUAAUGUUGUAUUUCUUUUCCCUCCUUUAAUGCUGUAUUUAUUUGCAUUUAGUCUUCUCUCUCUUUCUCAUCUCCUUUAUUAAGUAGUUAUUCUCCUUUUCUUUGUUGUGCUUAUUUCCUUUAAGUAGGGGCAUUUAUUUCCAUUUCCCUCUUUUNNNNNNNNNNNNNNNNNNNNCAUCCCUAUCCCCUGUGUGACCUUGCCCUUCCACGUACUCUCUCUUCUUUAUUUUUGUUACUUAUCAUAUAUUUUGUUCAAUAACUUGGUGUCUUUCUUCCUUUUCUUCUUGUAAUAAUUUUUCUUUGUGCUAUUUAUUAUCUUUUUAUUGUUGUCUUGUUUUCAACCCUCUUUAUUCUCUAAUAAAUGUUUCAUUCUAUUUCUUCACCUUUUUCUUUUGUUUGAUGUUUUCUUUUCAUUCUCUCCCUUGUCUGCUUCCUUUCUUUAAGUUCUUAUUCGUCCCCUCUUUCUUGAUUUUUAAUGUAGUAUCCUCCCCCUUAUUCUCUUUAUAUUCAUCUUCUCAUCUUCUUAGCUUUGCUUCUUCUAAUUAGAUAUUGUAUGUUUAGUAUAGAUAGCGAGUUAGAUUUCAUAGUUUCCAUGCUUUUCAUCGUCUUGAUCUUUUUACAUUUCAUGGUUAGAUUCUUUACCUCUGUGCAUGUUUACUUUCCUAGUCUUUUAGCUUACUUGUGGUUAUCCUCUCUUCUUCCUUUUCUAAAUCUAUUUCCCUGAAAAUCUCCUUUUUAUCUUCAAACCCAUAGAAAAUCUUCUUUGUUGAGUUCCAAGGUUGAAAUAGGAGGGAAGCCGGCGUUUCCUGCGGUCUGAGAGGGAUAAGGUUUUAUGGCCUGACUCUCCCUCAUAACAUAAUUUGAUGAGGCCCAUUCUCUUCCAACUCUUCGAUUUGUUUGCACCCAAAAGCAAGGCAGGGCCGAAGUCCCUGUGGUGCACGUGUAUGUCGAGUAUGAACAGUCUGGCGCCCACUGUGGUGCACGUCAAGCUUCCCUUCCAUCUCAACUAUUGAAGCGGCCUCUCGAACAUCUGUUUCAAAAGGCCACCAUCAACUGGGAACUCGUCCCAUCUCGUUUCGAGCUUUUGUUUCUUGUUCGGAGUCCGAAACUGACAAACGUUAUGUAGGGGGAUGUUGCCUGUUUCGGCUGCUUUUGUUUGCUUUCUGAAAUCUCUGGGGACAACAUCAUUGGCAGUGUCGGCAGUGCCAUUUCCUAUGUCACCAGGUCUCUGUGACUCCAGAAAGUCCUCUUGCCUGUCCCAGGCUUGUUAUUGGCCCGUUCGACACUUUUUCGUGAGUCUAGAAGAACAUAGUUUUGACAAUGUUUGCACUGUCUUCAGUGACCUUGCAGUGCUACCAGAAUUAUGUUUCUCUAGUCCUCAGGGUGCGACUAUCUGAAACCACAGUUCCUUGGUGAUGUUGCCACCUGCACCAGGGGCAUAGGCAGUAGCGUCAGACCACUGUUGCCUCGGACAAUCUGUUUCUUAUUGAUAAUAUAGAUUUAUCGCCUUCCUUCCUUUCAGUGCCUCCUCGGCACCCCUGUUUCUGAGGGACCUUCUUCCCUCAAUCUAAAAUUGCACCUCGAGUAGGGUUACACCUGACUCUAAGUGCGUUCGAGUGGACAUAAUUCACACUCUUCAUUGGAACCGUGCUUCGAUCUCCCUUGAUCAGAAGUGCACAUCACCCAGCACCGAGGUGCCCGGUAUUCAACCAUUACUAGGGCACCUAGCCACUCUCUUUCACUGCACUUUGAUCUAGCUCGCCAAAUCAAAGUGCACCCCACUUGGUGUGAUUUAGCACCUCGUGUUCAUUUUUGUUUGGGUACUAUAUUGAUUGACUGAUAUACUUUUUCACAUGCAUGCAUGAUUACUACAUUCACACUUAUGCACUCAAGCGCAUGAAUUUAAAAGUUUUCCAAAUUUAGUUUCUCGAAAAACCUGCAUCGGGUUUUAAUGCUUCUGGAGUAGGCACCUAAUUCCUAGAGGAAGAGCAGAUGGGAUCAUGGGCCGUCAAUGACAGUACACCCUCUAUAUAUACUCGGCCUCUUACCCCACAAUACUUUGGACCUAUGGUCGCUUAUAGGAGUGACCCAAACCAAAGGUGGGUGUACCCUGAUAUCGUACCUCAUUUCUAAACUAGUUUUUACCCAAGGUAGGAACUCUAAGUCUGGCCUUACUCGUUAGUGGUUUAGAGGUACUCAUGUCUUUUUUCAUGUUUUGUCUACCUAAGUAAAGAGAUGAAUCACGACCCACAUAUGGUGGCGGGAGAGUCGGGUACCGAGUUGACUGCCAAACUCACAACGAAGGUCAAGUAUGUCAUCUGGCCAUCUAGUGAGAUAGCGCACAGCUAUCCCCUGAGACUAUGGGACCCAGCCUUCGCAUGGGCCCGAGGUUAGGUCACUUAGUUGUCUAUCCGAAGACCAUGUUGUUGGUCCGACACUAGGUGUCACCAGGUUUGCGCUACUCAAAGCACCUUGAACAGCCAAGUAGUUGGGCUGGGUGUAGUCCUCCAACAAGUAGGGGUACUACCACCGUCCCGACGCCGGACGCAAGAUAGGGUCUGCAUCCUUAGCGGUGGUCAAGUCGGCGAUUUAAGCAUAGGUGAUCCUCUCUUACCAGUACCUCCUCAUCCUCCUAGUACAGAGCUUUCUACUAAAGGUAGUGCCACAUGAUCCUCUAGUGCCCGCAACAGCCGUAGCGUUGACCGAGCUCCUCUUGGAGCCGCCCAACCUAGUGUAAGAUUAGCAGCUGACCCUAGUAUGGCCCAAUUUCCUCUAGGGGCAAGCCAACCAAUGGUAGACAACACUGUAGAUCCAGGCAGAAUAGCGCAAGUUGUUCUUCAAGCCAUAGGGAAUCCUAGCUUAGGACAAGCAGCAAACUUCUUUGCCCAACCUAAUCUAGGGUCCCCUUCAACCUGGUCAAGCAAAACGCGAUCCGGGGAUGGUCCCGAGCAGGCCCAUUUUGGAACCGUCGUAUCAGUUUUAUAACCCUCAACCCAGGGAAGCUCCUCUUAUGGCACCGACAUACCCGCCAUUGCAUCAGCCGACCCCUCUACACUUGGCUGGUCAAGCAGCUACCUGAGGAAGUAAUGCUUUCGUAUCAUCCGCAUAGGAGCACAUGAAAUACCAAUCCCUAGAAGGUCGGAUGAAAAUCAUGCCUGCAACACUACAAAGGCUUGGGGUCGACGAUCUGGCUCUCAUCGAGCCUUAUGAUGAGUCCUACCUAGAUGGAUUUGCCGAACUACAGAUAAAUUUCUUGCCGCCAGAAUUCGGAAAUCACUUUAAUGGCAAGGGAAAUCCACGACUUCAUGUAACCAGCUAUUUACUAGUCGUAUUAACAAUCCGAGAUAGGCCGGUUACACUUAAAGCAAUGUUUGUCCACUGUCUCGCGGGAGAUGCCAUCACCUAGUAUAAUGAAUUUGCAAUGGACUACUCUGACGCUUCGUGCCGAGUGAUGUUUAAGUGAUUAAUCAUCCAUUUCAGCACCAAGAAACUGUGGAUGAUCUCAGUAGGGGAACUAGUUGCCCUUAAAUAGGGACUGGACGAACCAUUCACCGAUUUUGUCGACAGGUUUAAUGCCAUGGCCUCAAAGGUCACAGAAUGCCUGUUAUCAGACCACGUUAAAAUCAGCAUGAUAUUGGAAAAUGCUAACAAUGAAUACAAUACGUUCUUCAGCCACGGUUGUCCCUCUGACAUUCAAUAUUAUGUCGAAUAUGAUCAUGCUAUAUGAGAGAAUUAAAUCUCAGAUGGCCGGUAUUAAGCCGAGAAAAAAUCGAAAAAUUAAUGAAGCCUCGAGAAGAUCCCGUGGGCUAAACCACAACAAGCUGGGGAGGUAAACUAGAUUAUCCUCCACCAGGCGAAUCCGAGUAAUCAGGAUCGACCAGCUGGCCAAGACCUGCGAGGAAACCAAAAUGGGGGAGGAAACUGAUACAGACCAUACAUUCAGCCCAUCAGGCCGCAAAGAUGCUUCACCUUGUUGAAACAACCUUUGUCCGAAGUACGACAACUUCUGAAGGAAUGAGAUUUGAUUCUUCUGCCACCUUCACCAUCCCACAUGAAUUGAUGGGCAAGAGAAAAUACUGUGAGUGGCAUCAACAUCAUCAACACAAUAUGCAAGAUUGCAUCACCCUAAAGCCUUAAGUCGAAAAUUUGAUAGAAAAGGGAGUCAUUAAAGUGGUGAAACCCAAUGAGCCCAUUAAAGAGGCCAAUCAAAAAAUGGGGAUCGAUGUCAACCCAUUGCCGAUCAAUGAUCCUCAGCCAAGUGCACCACCGCUUACAACCACGAAAGUUCCGGCAUCGGAUCCAAGGGGAAAGGUCGCGAUCCAUACCAUCCUUGAAGAGUCAUACAUUAUACAUCCAUCCCUACUCAUCUUCUCGUGCAUAAUACCGACUACCUUGAUGAUUCUAAGGGAAACUACCUCUCAAGAACCUCUCCAAGACAUCUUGAUGCCCACCAUUCAAAACGUCCAAAGGGAAGUUGUCCCUUUAGAAACUCAAACAUGGCAUCAAGACGUUAUAAUAUCAGUCGCUCAGGAGAUCUCAAAUGUGUUUACCUUCAAGAACCUCUGUUACCACACUAAGAUGUUGAAAUGACAACUAAUGAAGAAGCUAAGCAAGAUGAUUGCUCAUCUCCCAAUAGCCUGGUAGUGAUCAAAGUUGAAGAUGGGUAACCUACUCAGAAAACAACCCAAUUGGAAGGAGCGUACGAGGAGGUUGACACAUGGGUAAAGGUCCAACCCUCCCACAUCCUUACCAAUGGGAUCAUCACUUCGCUUACAAGACAUGGUCACCAUUUCAAGCCAACUCGGCUUAGCGCCGACACUUUGCGAGAAAGGAUAGGGAAUAACUUCUCUUUCUCUCUCUUACUCACUCUCCCACUCCCUCGGUCUCUCUCUCUCUUACCCUUUCUUUCUUUCCCUUGCUCAUUCUCCCUUUCCCUCGGUCUCUCUCUCUUACUUUCUCUCCCCUUCUCGGUCUCCUACAGUCUCUCUCUUUCUCUUACCCUCUCAUUCUCUCUCUCGAUCCUUCUCUCCCCCUCUCGGUCUCCUACGCUCUCUCUCUUUCUUUUCUCUCUCGCUCACUCUUUCUCUCUCACGAUCUCUCUCCCUCUCUUACCCUCUCUCUCUCACUCUUUCUCUCCCUCAGUCUCUCUCUCUCUCGUUUUCCCCUCUCUUUCUCACUCUCCUUCUCUUUCUUUCUUCCCCUCUUUCUCUCUCACUCUCUUUUCUCUCUCUCAUUCUCUUCUCCAUUUUUAUCUACCUCAUACUCUCUCUUUCCAUCUCUUUUAAGCUCCUCCCUCUUCUCCCCUCUAACACUCUACUUCUUCGACUCUCACUCUAUCUCUUCUACUAUCAUCUCACCCCUCUCUUGACUAUAUN